CAAUCUAGCCAUGAUCACUUCAUAAAUUUUAUGACACUUCAUCAGUUGCGUACCUGUGAGAAGUUCAGCUGAUAUUUCAAUACAAUGGCAGCAACGAAAACACUGUACAUUACUGCGUUUGUCUUCGCAGUUACAAUUGGACUAACUACAGGAGACUGCGAAUCUGGAUUAACACAAUGCUACAGCACAUUCCUGCAAAAUGUUGCAAGCCACGUCACUAAUGUAAACGCCAUUUGCAAUGACAUGCAAACUUUUGUCGCUUGUGUAUUUCAACAAAACUGCGGCUUAACAGCAGAAAUCGAGACACAAUUAAUCGAGCAGAUGAAUUCACAGCUGCGUCAGUUAGGACUUAAGUGCUCAUUUAGUGCAGCCGACCUCAUCAACAAGUACAAAAAUGGCGCCACAAGCAUCAGUACACUGCCAUCAGCUUUGAUGCUGCUCGCCUUGGUCACGGUGUCGAUCUUGGUCAAGAUUUUUUGAAUGCCACACAUUUCUCUUUAUUAAUGUGUUAUUUCACAAAAUCCUUUUUAUGUUGGUAACUACUUUGAUUGUUAAUGUCUUGUAUACUGAAACAUUUUUCUUUUGUCAAAUUAAUACUUAGAACUGUGACACGUCUUAUAAUUUGAAGGUCCAUUAAAAAAUACAUUUAUAUUUCCAAAGA
This is an RNA transcript of Physella acuta, 661 nucleotides long. RefSeq lists it as uncharacterized. The record is from RefSeq and is a predicted model, not a curated record. Lineage: Eukaryota; Metazoa; Mollusca; Gastropoda; Physidae.